Molecule: ribosomal RNA, 388 nt
Filed under: uncultured bacterium
Lineage: Bacteria
Description: bacterial SSU rRNA
Rfam family: Bacterial small subunit ribosomal RNA
Source: RNAcentral
GACGAACGCUGGCGGCGUGCUUAACACAUGCAAGUCGAGCGGUAAGGCCCUUUCGGGGGUACACGAGCGGCGAACGGGUGAGUAACACGUGGGUGACCUGCCCUCAGCUCUGGGAUAAGCCUGGGAAACCGGGGUCUAAUACCGGAUAUGACUCCAUGACGCAUGUUGUGGGGUGGAAAGCCUUGUGCGGCUGAGGAUGGGCCCGCGGCCUAUCAGCUUGUUGGUGGGGUGAUGGCCUACCAAGGCGACGACGGGUAGCCGGCCUGAGAGGGCGACCGGCCACACUGGGACUGAGACACGGCCCAGACUCCUACGGGAGGCAGCAGUGGGGAAUCUUGCGCAAUGGGCGAAAGCCUGACGCAGCGACGCCGCGUGAGGGAUGACGGCC